Molecule: non-coding RNA, 394 nt
Organism: Cinara cedri
Lineage: Eukaryota; Metazoa; Arthropoda; Insecta; Hemiptera; Aphididae
Source: the annotation of a GenBank genome assembly
GUUUGUUUAUAUUUUUAAUAAUUACUUAAGUUCUAACUGGCUGCUAAAAUUGUGUAAUGCAAGUUGAAUUAGUUAUAUGUUUCAAUUAAAUAAUAAUUUGUAUAGUGAUUCAGUAAAAAAAAAAAAAAAAAAAUGGAUAUUAGAGUAUAGAGACUGUCAGACUGGGUUUUGUUACUUGUUUCGUUAGCCUUGGUAUUAGUAUUGUAUUUAUAUUACAUUCCCAACAAUGAUAAGUCAAUAAUUUUCAAACAAUUAUGAAUAGAACUUGAUUUUCCUAAAAAUAGUGAUUACCUAUAGCAUAGUUUUCUAAUGAUUUUAUUAAAUUUGACCCCCUCCCAACUACUCAGUUUAAGCUGACAAUUUGAAAACUUUGAUAAUAAUAUAAUGUGAAGCA